This 253-nucleotide ribosomal RNA is filed under the name uncultured bacterium. Its description in RNAcentral is "partial 16S ribosomal RNA". It matches the Rfam family "Bacterial small subunit ribosomal RNA", at positions 524 to 776 of the family's 1533-position model. The record is from RNAcentral.
UACAGAGGGGGCAAGCGUUGUUCGGAAUUACUGGGCGUAAAGGGCGCGUAGGCGGCCUUCUAAGUCGAACGUGAAAUCCCCGGGCUCAACCCAGGAACUGCGUCCGAUACUGGAAGGCUUGAAUCCGGGAGAGGGAUGCGGAAUUCCAGGUGUAGCGGUGAAAUGCGUAGAUAUCUGGAGGAACACCGGUGGCGAAGGCGGCAUCCUGGACCGGCAUUGACGCUGAGGCGCGAAAGCCAGGGGAGCAAACGGG